Molecule: ribosomal RNA, 765 nt
Filed under: uncultured Streptococcus sp.
Lineage: Bacteria; Bacillati; Bacillota; Bacilli; Lactobacillales; Streptococcaceae
Description: bacterial SSU rRNA
Rfam family: Bacterial small subunit ribosomal RNA
Source: RNAcentral
GACGAACGCUGGCGGCGUGCCUAAUACAUGCAAGUAGAACGCUGAAGAGAGGAGCUUGCUCUUUUUGGAUGAGUUGCGAACGGGUGAGUAACGCGUAGGUAACCUGCCUGGUAGCGGGGGAUAACUAUUGGAAACGAUAGCUAAUACCGCAUAAUAUUAAUUAUUGCAUGAUAAUUAAUUGAAAGAUGCAACUGCAUCACUACCAGAUGGACCUGCGUUGUAUUAGCUAGUUGGUGAGGUAACGGCUCACCAAGGCGACGAUACAUAGCCGACCUGAGAGGGUGAUCGGCCACACUGGGACUGAGACACGGCCCAGACUCCUACGGGAGGCAGCAGUAGGGAAUCUUCGGCAAUGGGGGGAACCCUGACCGAGCAACGCCGCGUGAGUGAAGAAGGUUUUCGGAUCGUAAAGCUCUGUUGUAAGAGAAGAACGGGUGUGAGAGUGGAAAGUUCACACUGUGACGGUAUCUUACCAGAAAGGGACGGCUAACUACGUGCCAGCAGCCGCGGUAAUACGUAGGUCCCGAGCGUUGUCCGGAUUUAUUGGGCGUAAAGCGAGCGCAGGCGGUUAGAUAAGUCUGAAGUUAAAGGCUGUGGCUUAACCAUAGUAUGCUUUGGAAACUGUUUAACUUGAGUGCAGAAGGGGAGAAUGGAAUUCCAUGUGUAGCGGUGAAAUGCGUAGAUAUAUGGAGGAACACCGGUGGCGAAAGCGGCUCUCUGGUCUGUAACUGACGCUGAGGCUCGAAAGCGUGGGGAGCAAACAGG